GGGGAUGUAUUUUGGCUUUGACAGUAUUUUUGAAAUAUGAACUGCGAGUAGUGGAUGGUUGCUUUGGCCACUAUAAAAAAGCAAAUUAAAAUUAAACGCUGAUAAUGAAUUAGCAUACGCUGCCUAGGUGCAACGUCGUCUUACUAUAAGGCCUACUGGUAUAGAUAAGGCGUCGACUAAAGUAGGAAACAAAGUUAUUCCUCGCCUUGGGAAUAAUGGGUAAUUUAAGGCUACUUUAAAUUCAAGUGUGUUUAUUUGCUAGAAUUUAGAGGAUAUUCCAAUAAUAAACUACACUCGUAGAGGUUUAUAUGGAUAGGAUAUUGGACGAGGGUUCGACUCCCUCCAUCUCCACCA
RNAcentral lists this transfer-messenger RNA (354 nucleotides) under Clostridia. Its description in RNAcentral is "UMGS1781 sp900553695 Standard tmRNA". It matches the Rfam family "transfer-messenger RNA". Rfam says of the family: Bacterial tmRNA, also known as 10Sa RNA or SsrA, is named for its dual tRNA and mRNA-like properties. Its role is to liberate the mRNA from a stalled ribosome. Lineage: Bacteria; Bacillati; Bacillota. RNAcentral also lists the same sequence under 1 other name. The record is from RNAcentral.